Molecule: long non-coding RNA, 266 nt
Organism: Emys orbicularis (European pond turtle)
Lineage: Eukaryota; Metazoa; Chordata; Testudines; Emydidae
Exons: 3
Source: RefSeq, a predicted model, not a curated record
CAUCCAUGUUUCGCUCCAGCUCAUCCCAUCCUCCCAUGGGACAGGGAAGAGAAAUGGCUGCAGUGGAGAUGGCUCAGGGUUUCCAGUUUCCAAACUGGAUAUAAUCUCCCAACUGGAACAAGCGGAAGAACCAUGGGUCCCAGACUUCCAGGGUUCAGAGGAAAGACAGAUGCUGAGAGCUCCCUGCACAGCAGGUGAUGCAAUGGUAUGUGAGAAUGAGGAGCAGAAUUCUCAUCCGGAAAACGUUGAGCAAGUGGAUAAACACA